Molecule: non-coding RNA, 27 nt
Filed under: Homo sapiens (human)
Lineage: Eukaryota; Metazoa; Chordata; Mammalia; Primates; Hominidae
Source: RNAcentral
UGAGGUUGGUGGCUGGUGCACCGGCUC